AGCUUUGCACAGUGGCAGCAUCGUAGCCAAUGAAGUUUAUCUGAGGCGGGAUUAUUGCUAAUUAAAAGCUUUUUCAAUACCCUGCCAUGGCGACUUGAAAUAUAGUCGGCAUUGGCAAUUUUUGGCAGUCUCUAUGGGGA
Sapajus apella (tufted capuchin) is the source of this 140-nucleotide small nuclear RNA. RefSeq annotates it as U4 spliceosomal RNA. The record is from RefSeq and is a predicted model, not a curated record. The transcript has a single exon. Lineage: Eukaryota; Metazoa; Chordata; Mammalia; Primates; Cebidae.